Molecule: microRNA precursor, 136 nt
Filed under: Chlorocebus sabaeus (green monkey)
Lineage: Eukaryota; Metazoa; Chordata; Mammalia; Primates; Cercopithecidae
Description: miRNA (ENSCSAG00000022334.1)
Source: RNAcentral
CAACAGAAAUUUAUUUUCUCACAGUUUUGGAGGCUGGAAAUCCAAGAUCAAGGUGCUGGCAGGGCUGGUUUCCUCUGAGGCUUCUCUCCUUGGCUUGCAGAUGGCUGUCCUCCUGUUGUGUCCUCACAUGGUCCUC